This 461-nucleotide ribosomal RNA is filed under the name uncultured bacterium. RNAcentral describes it as "bacterial SSU rRNA". It matches the Rfam family "Bacterial small subunit ribosomal RNA", at positions 1 to 507 of the family's 1533-position model. The record is from RNAcentral.
AGACGUCUACGAGUUUGUCAUGGCUCAGAACGAACGCUGGCGGCAUGCCUAACACAUGCAAGUCGAACGAACCCUUCGGGGUUAGUGGCGCACGGGUGCGUAACGCGUGGGGAUCUGCCCAAAGGUUCGGAAUAACUCAGAGAAAUUUGAGCUAAUACCGGAUAAUGUCUUCGGACCAAAGAUUUAUUGCCUUUGGAUGAACCCGCGUAGGAUUAGCUUGUUGGUGGGGUAAAGGCCUACCAAGGCGACGAUCCUUAGCUGGUCUGAGAGGAUGAUCAGCCACACUGGGACUGAGACACGGCCCAGACUCCUACGAGAGGCAGCAGUGGGGAAUAUUGGACAAUGGGCGAAAGCCUGAUCCAGCAAUGCUGCGUGAGUGAUGAAGGCCUUAGGGUUGUAAAGCUCUUUCAGUGGGGAAGAUAAUGACUGUACCCACAGAAGAAGCCCCGGCUAACUCCGUG